This 25-nucleotide non-coding RNA is filed under the name Rattus norvegicus (Norway rat). Lineage: Eukaryota; Metazoa; Chordata; Mammalia; Rodentia; Muridae. The record is from RNAcentral.
UGAGAGCUAAGUUUAAUCUGGUUUU